GAUGAACGCUAGCGGCAGGCCUAACACAUGCAAGUCGAACGAUGAAGCCCAGCUUGCUGGGUGGAAGAGUGGCGAACGGGUGAGUAACACGUGAGUAACCUGCCCAUGACUCUGGGAUAAGCGCUGGAAACGGCGUCUAAUACUGGAUAUGCACAGCGGCCGCAUGGUCAGUUGUGGGAAAGAUUUAUCGGUCAUGGAUGGACUCGCGGCCUAUCAGCUUGUUGGUGAGGUAAUGGCUCACCAAGGCGACGACGGGUAGCCGGCCUGAGAGGGUGACCGGCCACACUGGGACUGAGACACGGCCCAGACUCCUACGGGAGGCAGCAGUGGGGAAUAUUGCACAAUGGGCGCAAGCCUGAUGCAGCAACGCCGCGUGAGGGAUGACGGCCUUCGGUGUUAACGUCUUUAGUUAGGUAGAAGCGUAAGUGACGGUACCGUGCAGAAAAGACACCGGCGUAACUACGUGCCAGCAGCCGCGGUAAC
This 483-nucleotide ribosomal RNA is filed under the name uncultured bacterium. Its description in RNAcentral is "bacterial SSU rRNA". It matches the Rfam family "Bacterial small subunit ribosomal RNA", at positions 28 to 524 of the family's 1533-position model. The record is from RNAcentral.